Molecule: non-coding RNA, 2375 nt
Organism: Misgurnus anguillicaudatus (oriental weatherfish)
Lineage: Eukaryota; Metazoa; Chordata; Actinopteri; Cypriniformes; Cobitidae
Source: RefSeq, a predicted model, not a curated record
UUUAUUUUAAAUUGUCCAGAUAUCUUUUCAAAAUUGUCAGAAAUUCUUGAUCCUCAUCCACAUCACUAAUAAAAUUACAAAAUUUAUCAGCAAUAUAUCUGUACCAUUUUAUGAUGCGUGAAUGGAAGGGGGUGACUUUGGGGCUGUUUACACUUGGUAUUAAGAUGUGUUUUCAUCGAUCGGAUCACAAGUGGACGAGAGAGACACAUUACGUUUACACCUGGUAUUUAAAUCCGUCUCUUUUGUCCACUUUCGACCGCUUCUGUGCUGAAUACUAUGAGGGGGUGGUCUGUGAGACUGUGGGUGAGUCUCUCUGCUGUCAUUCAAACCCGAGCGGGAGUAAUUAUGAGUUUAUAUGGACGCAAACUAAUAUUAUGUCGGAGUGCACUGCUUGUUUAGCAAGUAAACAUGCUGCACAGUGUUUUGUACAUGAGUAUUUAAGAGCUUUCUUUGAAUUUUCAGCGCAAUUGAUGAAAUAGGAUCGCGCAACUUUCACACGCUUUCAAAACGAAACUACGGAGAUCAGCCGCUUAGUUUUAUCAAUGAAAGGCUAAAAAUAGCGCUGUUCACCGAAUGUUCACGCCAGAAGUCAAAAAAGACGUAAAACUUGUGUUUAAUACCUCAGAUUAGAUAAAUGGGCGGAGAGAAGGCGGUCGCGUGUGGCUGUUCGAACGCAUUCAACCACAUAUGCGUUCCGCAACUCCAAAGCGAUCCGAUCGAAAGUGGUUUCGACCACCUCUGGAUGUGGUUGAAAGUGGUCGAAAGUGGACGAGCUCAAAACGUUUUGAACACCGUUUACACCUGGCAUUAACGUCGUCCACUUGUGAUCCGAUCGACGAAAACACAUGUUAAUGCCAAGUGUAAACAGCCUCUUAAUCAAUAAAAAGCACAAAUAAGCUGCAUAAUUUGGAGCAAAAUACUGUAAUUAUAUUUUAUAUUUUAGACCCUGCGUCCACUGGAAUGGACAUCACAUGUUUUGUGGUUCAAACUAAUAAAAAUGCUGAUCAACCAAUCUGUAUCGGCCUUCCAAAGGUUUUUAAGUUUUAAGUUAAGGCCGUGCACAGCAAAACCACCAGUGUUGAUUUUACAGAGUUCCCUACUCUGGAGUGGUCAGGUGUUAGUUGUAGUGUUCGUUAUUAAUUUAUCAUCACUCACAGUGUCAGAAACUUCCACAAGGGGGUGUUGCUUUCCAGUGUUCCAAGAAUUACGUUUGCGGGGAGUUAAGAUUCACGCCACGCCCCUUCUUUCUGAAGCGGGAAAGUCAGUUACUCAGCAUCGACCGACCUGGACUCACGUUACUGAGGGUGGCGGUUUCAGAUUAGGGUGUGCAUCAAGCACUGUGGGCAGAGAAACAUGAUGCAAUGCAGGUGUUUGUGGUUUGGAACAUGCUGCUGAAGUUGGAUAUCAGGGCUCCAGGAAAUGUAUCAAACUGCAGGAUUUAUUUAUUUUUGCUCAUUAGUGAAGGUGGUAAGCCAAACUGACUGUGGACUAACGUAUGCAUUGUUAAUGACACUGAAAUCGAGGAAGACAUUUUUCAAGAUAUGCUGCUUACAGCUAGAGGACAAAAUGAAGAUGCAACAAGCAGCUUCUGCCACUGUCAUUUACCAUCUGAACUUGGCCAAAGUUGUUCCAAGAAAUCUAAGACAACAGAUGACUCCAUGACUGAGGAAGACUCCUACAAGGAACCAGUGAGAGCAUCAUAGACUGGGAUAGUGACAUGGCAACACUGCUUUUACUGCUCCAUCUCCUUCCAACAUCACCUCAAGGGAAUCAGUGCAUCAGAUUUGCAGUGAGCAGGCUUGUGGUGCAUCAUAAGUCUUGUACCAGCUUUGAAGAACAUCUUCAGCAACGAGUAGGAUGACAACCGUACCUUACUGCGGUUGGCAGGAUCUGCGGCCAGAUUUGAGAACUUUGACGUAGCUUUUGAUAAGAAUCUCACCCCGUCAGUCGGAAGGCUCCCUUUUAGCAUUUGACUUUGUUUUUAAUGUAAUGUAUGAUGAUGGACUCCUUCACUUUAACUAAUUUAAUCAAACAACAGUUUACAUGUUGGGAAAACUAGAGAUCGAGAGCUGAGAGCAAACUUUUUUUUAACUAGCUGGUAACUAGUAUCUCAUUUAAGGUUUCAGCAUGCAUUUUAUCCUUGCCCAAAUUUCUAAUUAAUAUGUGCUGAAGAAAAUUGUGAUUACUUUUGUGAUGUAUUGUUUUACAGAAUGUUUAGUGAAAAAUUUGCUGUGAUUUGCCCUAGAUGUGUGUCAGACAUGGAUUUUAAAACGCUUAUCCAGUUUUAUUUAAACUCCUUGGCAAAAUUGAAAUGACUGUAUAAAUAACCACUUUCUGAAAAUGUUGAAAAAGUUCACAAGUGAUACUUUAUUUUU